RNAcentral lists this ribosomal RNA (909 nucleotides) under Neurospora cerealis. Its description in RNAcentral is "LSU rRNA". It matches the Rfam family "Eukaryotic large subunit ribosomal RNA", at positions 31 to 965 of the family's 3401-position model. The record is from RNAcentral. Lineage: Eukaryota; Fungi; Ascomycota; Sordariomycetes; Sordariales; Sordariaceae.
GACUUAAGCAUAUCCAAUAAGCGGAGGAAAAGAAACCCAACAGGGAUUGCCCUAGUAACGGCGAGUGAAGCGGCAACAGCUCAAAUUUGAAAUCUGCCUUCGGGCCGAGUUGUAAUUUGUAGAGGAAGCUUUUGGUGAGGCACCUUCUGAGUCCCCUGGAACGGGGCGCCAUAGAGGGUGAGAGCCCCGUAUAGUCGGAUGCCGAUCCAAUGUAAAGCUCCUUCGACGAGUCGAGUAGUUUGGGAAUGCUGCUCAAAAUGGGAGGUAAAUUUCUUCUAAAGCUAAAUACCGGCCAGAGACCGAUAGCGCACAAGUAGAGUGAUCGAAAGAUGAAAAGCACCUUGAAAAGGGGGUUAAAUAGCACGUGAAAUUGUUGAAAGGGAAGCGUUUGCGGCCAGACUUGCGCCGCCCCGAUCAUCCGGUGUUCUCACCGGUGCACUCGGGGCGGCGCAGGCCAGCAUCGGUUUCGGCGGGGGGAUAAAGGCCCGGGGAACGUAGCUCCUUCGGGAGUGUUAUAGCCCCGGGCGUAAUGCCCUCGCCGGGACCGAGGUUCGCGCAUCUGCAAGGAUGCUGGCGUAAUGGCCGCCAACGACCCGUCUUGAAACACGGACCAAGGAGUCAAGGUUUUGCGCGAGUGUUUGGGUGUAAAACCCGCACGCGUAAUGAAAGUGAACGUAGGUGAGAGCUUCGGCGCAUCAUCGACCGAUCCUGAUGUAUUCGGAUGGAUUUGAGUAAGAGCGUUAAGCCUUGGACCCGAAAGAUGGUGAACUAUGCUUGGGAUAGGGUGAAGCCAGAGGAAACUCUGGUGGAGGCUCGCAGCGGUUCUGACGUGCAAAUCGAUCGUCAAAUCUGAGCAUGGGGGGGCGAAAGACUAAUCGGAACCAUCUAGUAGCUGGUUUACCGCCCGAA